Molecule: ribosomal RNA, 798 nt
Filed under: uncultured bacterium
Lineage: Bacteria
Description: bacterial SSU rRNA
Rfam family: Bacterial small subunit ribosomal RNA
Source: RNAcentral
AGAGUUUGAUCAUGGCUCAGGACGAACGCUUGCGGCGUGCCUAAGAAAUGCAAGUCGAGCGAGGUUUAGGCUUCGGCCGACGACCUAGCGGCGAACGGUCGCGUAACACGUAAGCAACCUGCCCUAAAGUUGGGGAUAGCCCGCCGAAAGGCGGAUUAAUACCGAAUGUGGAUAUGAUUUCGCAUGUGAUUAUAUCUGAAGCAGCGAUGCGCUUUAGGAUGGGCUUGCGGCCUAUCAGUUAGUUGGUGUGGGUAACGGCCUACCAAGACGACGACGGGUAGCUGGUCUGAGAGGAUGGUCAGCCGGAUUGGGACUGAGACACGGCCCAGACUCCUACGGGGGGCAGCAAUUAGGAAUCUUGCGCAAUGGGCGAAAGCCUGACGCAGCGACGCCGCGUGACUGAUGAAGUCUUUCGAGAUGUAAAGGUCUUUUGUUGGGGACGAAGGAAGUGACGGUACCCGACGAAUAAGCCCCGGCUAACUACGUGCCAGCAGCCGCGGUAAUACGUAGGGGGCGAGCGUUGUCCGAAUUCACUGGGCGUAAAGCGCGCGUAGGCGGGUUUUUAAGUUGUGGGUGAAAUUCCGAGGCUCAACCUCGGAACUGCCUGCAAAACUGGGAGCCUUGAGGUAUGGAGAGGGAAGUGGAAUUCCUGGUGUAGCGGUGAAAUGCGUAGAUAUCAGGAGGAACACCCGUGGCGAAGGCGGCUUCCUGGCCAUAUCCUGACGCUGAGGUGCGAAAGCCAGGGUAGCGAACGGGAUUAGAUACCCCGGUAGUCCUGGCCAUAAACGAUGGAUACUA